AGAAAAAGCAGAUAUUAGAACACAGGCACAGUAACAAAGUGAAUAAUACCAAAUGAGAUGAAAUCAAAGAAGAAAGUCAAAGAUUAGUGUGUGUCUCUCUCUAUGAUCCACCAUUCCCAUCACAAGCUUGUAAAUUGGAAAAUUAAUACAAGAGAGAAGAAUCAGAGUAAAACAAACUGAAAAAAAAGUUACUAAAAAAUGAAAAUGAUAAAUGAUGUAAAGUUGGCUUCUUGAAUUCAUAGAUGACAAGACCAGCAAAUUACUUAACAUUUCCUCCUUUGGUGUCCUGGGAUCAAAGACUGGAGUGGAUUGGAAUCAAAGUUGGUUGAAAUGGCUCUCAGCUUCUCUGCUCACCAUUAAAGUAGGAUUUGGAACAUUUAGAAGAUGUUCAUCAUUCUUGGUUUUGGAUCCCUCCAGAGGAGCUGGGUCACAGAAGACACUCUCCAAGAUGCUAUGGAUCUUCCACCAGCUGAUUCUGGUUUGUCAUCUCAGGAGCCUGUGACUGACUAACAGGAGGUGUCAUGUCAUGUCUGUUGGUUGUUUUUAUUGUAUGCAUGAGUUCAAGAUGAGCUCUGCUCUAGGCCUGUGAUUGCCAAGAAGCAUCCUGUACUUGCUCUCCUCUUCAGUGGUAGAGAAAUCACCUGGUAUAUGUGAGGCACUGAGUUCAAUUCUUAGCACCACAUAAAAAUAUAUAAAAUAACGGUAUUGUGUGCACCUAAACUAACUCUCUCUCUCUCUUUA
Molecule: long non-coding RNA, 741 nt
Filed under: Ictidomys tridecemlineatus (thirteen-lined ground squirrel)
Lineage: Eukaryota; Metazoa; Chordata; Mammalia; Rodentia; Sciuridae
Description: lncRNA (ENSSTOG00000034528.1)
Source: RNAcentral